UACGAAGGGGGCUAGCGUUGUUCGGAAUUACUGGGCGUAAAGCGCACGUAGGCGGAUAUUUAAGUCAGGGGUGAAAUCCCGCAGCUCAACUGCGGAACUGCCUUUGAUACUGGGUAUCUUGAGUAUGGAAGAGGUAAGUGGAAUUGCGAGUGUAGAGGUGAAGUUCGUAGAUAUUCGCAGGAACACCAGUGGCGAAGGCGGCUUACUGGUCCAUUACUGACGCUGAGGUGCGAAAGCGUGGGGAGCAAACAGG
RNAcentral lists this ribosomal RNA (253 nucleotides) under uncultured bacterium. RNAcentral describes it as "partial 16S ribosomal RNA". It matches the Rfam family "Bacterial small subunit ribosomal RNA", at positions 524 to 776 of the family's 1533-position model. The record is from RNAcentral.